AUUGAACGCUGGCGGCAGGCCUAACACAUGCAAGUCGAGCGGAAGAAGACUUCGGUCUUCGAGAGCGGCGGACGGGUGAGUAACGCGUGGGAAUCUGGCUCUUAGAGGGGGACAACUUGUGGAAACGCAAGCUAAUACCGCAUACGCCCUAAGGGGGAAAGCAGGGGAUCUUCGGACCUUGCGCUAAGAGAUGAGCCCGCGUCGGAUUAGCUAGUUGGUGGGGUAAAGGCCUACCAAGGCGACGAUCCGUAACUGGUCUGAGAGGAUGAUCAGUCACACUGGAACUGAGACACGGUCCAGACUCCUACGGGAGGCAGCAGUGGGGAAUAUUGGACAAUGGGGGCAACCCUGAUCCAGCCAUGCCGCGUGUGUGAAGAAGGCCUUCGGGUUGUAAAGCACUUUAAGUUGGGAGGAAAGGGUUGUGGCUAAUACCCAUAAUCUAUGACGUUACCAACAGAAUAAGCACCGGCUAACUCCGUGCCAGCAGCCGCCGCGG
This 496-nucleotide ribosomal RNA is filed under the name uncultured bacterium. RNAcentral's name for it is "partial 16S ribosomal RNA". It matches the Rfam family "Bacterial small subunit ribosomal RNA", at positions 30 to 523 of the family's 1533-position model. The record is from RNAcentral.